Molecule: long non-coding RNA, 4120 nt
Organism: Oreochromis aureus
Lineage: Eukaryota; Metazoa; Chordata; Actinopteri; Cichliformes; Cichlidae
Source: Ensembl
GCCAGUCCGGAUAAAAAGAAUUACCAAUCAUACAGACAGAGGGGCUACAGUGCACCAGCCUGGAGAUUAUUCAAAACUAAACACAGAAUUUAAACAUUAAUGAAGUCAGGUAAACAUCAUACCCUUAUGUGGAGCAGCAACACUGUGCUUUUUAAUUAAAUUAUUAUUUCACUAGCCAUUGCACUGGACAUAUAGUGCUUGUUAGUUACAGAGCACAACUGAUGAAGCCUCUUUAAAGCCCAGCAGGCUCAAACUGCUACACUAGGAUGUCUUUGCCCUGACACAGUUCCAGCCAUAAGAUGAUUUGUUGACUCCAGUAUGUCAGCUCACUAACUCAGCUAAAUCCCGUUGUCUUCUUUCUCUGCUUUGUGGAUGUUUGGGUGCAUUCCUGCUAAGUCCAGCUUAUGAAAAAUCGACAGAGUCCACUCUACAAAAGUGCCAGAGGGCUUUGUUGUGAAGUCUUAUGAAGACUUUUUGUGAGUUUACAAAGCAAUGUUUUCACAUGGAAAACUAAUUAAGCUCUAAUCAGGCAAUUCAGAACCAAAGAUAUAUGAUAUGAUAUUGCUUUCUGAAAAAAGAAAUAAUAAUGAAAAGACACAAUCAGUUACUACAUAGAAAAUUUACUUUGAGACAUAGAAGUUCACGUUUUCCUUUUACUGAAAAGGUUAAGUUUAAAAAACAAGCCACAAAUUUCAUACAAAACAAAAAAUGCAGCUACAUGACUUCAGCGUUUGGUGAAAGGAACAGCAGACAUGCAUUUCUUCGUGUGAGCCAUCCUCUUCUUCCUCCCUCCUCACUCCGUUUCUGCCCUCACUCAUCUUCUCCUCGUCCCAUCCAUCCAGUAAUGUCUCCACAUCUCUCCACAGGAUUGAAUGCAGAUGGCUUGAAGCUGAUGAAAAGCGGCGUUGUGAGGCAUCCCGAGUCUCCCGUGCGCUCCUGGAGUCUCUUUACAUCUCACUGAACUCAUACAGCUAACAGGCCCUGGCAGGCAUCUGAAUAAGAAGGAGGUGCAAUCCAGCUUUCCCAGUUAGACUCUCUCUGUGAUAGCGUUGUAAACACUGGGGCUUAAUUGGGCAUGCGGCUGGUGAACAGCUUGAUUUUCAUCAUGCUUUUAUUGGCGCUCCAUGAGUUGGGAUGGGGGAGCAUGAGCAGGGCCUCACAUACAUCACAAGUGCAGUGGAAGGCAUGAAGACUGGUCUGUGCAGCCUCAGCAAGUUGAAUGUGAGCUACAUCCACAUUAAGCAACUUCUCUACAGCUUGUCAGACUGAAAGUUAAAGGGGAGGAGGACAAGAGGAAACUCGAGAAAACAAUUACUGGAAUGUCGACCUGGAUAAAGAAACUUCCGCUUUCCUCGAGAUCAGAAUCCUCAUAUUGAAAGCCUCCUCUAACCAAGUGACCUCUUGGUUGUGUGGAUUUGUUUAAAUGGGCCUUGGCCUUCUCCAAAGGAACACUUUAAAGCAGAAAGCAUCUGUGACGUUUGCUUCUGGUGUUUCCAUUUAACACAGAGAGUACAGCCUUCGUUGGAUAGACGAGAGUCUCAGGGAAACUAUUUCAUUUUGGGCAGUUUUUUAACCUUAAUCCAACCACCCAAAGGGCUCAGAGGGACAUUGUAUUUUUAUCAUUUUAGUACCCCAGCAUCCUAACAUGCACAUUUGCUGUCUCACAACUAUUUCAACUCUCUAAAGGAUUUAGCAAAACUUUUCCAACAGUGAGAUAGUCUCAUUUAAAGGGCUUACACGCCGGUAUCCUAAGCCAUGGAUGGGAAAACUGACAGCAUUCAGGAUUUUUUCAACCAACUGUGGCACUUUGCUUCAGAAAAACACAACCAGGGGGCCUAUAACACAGUCUGCCUGGUGGUCCUCCUGACGCUUCCCCUGCUCGUCCUCCUCACAACAGUGGUGGUGUGCUGCCACUGCUGUUGCUGUCGUCAUGCCAACAGCUGCUGUUGUUGCUGCUGCGGCGACGCCGUGUCGUCUUCAAGGUCAGAAACAAAGAAGAAAUAUAAUUCUGCCAAUACCGAAGACUUGUGGAUCUCGGUCAAGCCCGGGCCGAUGACGCCCGACCGGGUCGCUCUGGCCAUGGAGUAAAUAUCCCUUUUUUGACCUGAGAUUGCUGACGAGUUUAUGGAAAGGAGCUGAUGGAGCAUCCCGAAAAGCAUAAACCGUGGAUGCUCUUGGACUCCGUGGAUAUUCAAACAAAAAGGAUGAACUUCACCUAGUAGUGGGCACAGAUGUGUUUGAAAUAUGUAAACAGUGUAUAUAUUGUUGUCACUUUGCAUUCAUAAGAUGUCGUGCGGUGGUUUUAUGACAAUGUUUACAGCAUUUUUAUGAGCAUUUUUUUUAGUGUUUGGUACAUAAAGGAAGAAAUAUGAAGACAGAAGCACAUAUAUAACUGCAAGUGUGUGUGUGUGUGUGUGUGUGUGUGUGUGUGUGUGUGUGUAAGAGAAGCACAGUGUUAUUGAGAGCACUUUGUUCUUAGAGCUCCCAUGUGAAAUUCAGUGCGUGUGUAUUUGGGAGAGAGAGCCAAUUUAGGGUCUGCCCAGUGCUCAGAAAGCUGUAUUACUCACAUUCAGGCUGCAAUGCAGACUGUGAUUGACUCUCAAUUUCUAAAUCAAAAGGCACUGUCAUCUAAAAAGCUGAACUCACUGCCUACAGAACUUUCUUCAUUCCAACAUUUUUUCCCCCAUUUCUUGAAGAUGUUACAGCAUUGUCACAGGAGUGGAACUUCACUUUCAUCGGGUUUUUUUGUGUUUCUCUUUACACUAUUACACUAUUCAGGGCCAAGCAAGCAUUAAAAAAGACCAUUUGUAAAAGAUAAAGUGAGAACCCCCCCAAAGGACAAACAAACAACACUGGAAACUAGAAACUAGAUACUCAUACCAAUGGAGGUGUUAGCAAUAAUGAAUAGCCAUGUAUUUAUGGAAAUUUUGAACAUCUAUUCCUCUAAAACGUAUGAAUACGACUGAAAGAGGUGGCGUAAGUUGGUUUAGAGCAGAUCCAUAUGCACUUUUAUUCUGUUUUGAAGUCAUCACACAGAAAAUUUGGAAGGAGGACCAACAACACACUUAAGCCCCAAUGCCUAACCCCAAAUGCGAUCUCCUGCCUUUUGCCCCUAUAUCUGGGGGCGUUGGGGCUUAAGAGGUUAUACUGGCAUUAAGUUUGUUUGUAAUCACUUUUGGCUAACUUCCUAGCACAGAUGUGGACAAUUUUAGAUUGUCAAAAGUGUGUUUAAUUAAAACAAAUCACUGUCUAAGCAUACAUCUUUGUAUACUUCAUCAUGCUGAGAGCUUCCCCUACACUUGUGAUUGUGCCUUAUAACUGCAAAAUCCAUUUUACGUGCAUUUCUUUAAAAAGUUUGAUGAGUGCUUACAUGGAUACUGCUGGUAAACAUUAUUUGCCAGCAGUAUUUUAUUGCCAUUCUGUUGAGAUACAAACAUAAUGCUGAUUAAUUUGAUCAAGUCCUCACUAUUCACAUGUAUACAACGUUUUUAGAAACGGGUUUGAACAGUAUUCAAAGUAUUUUUUUGUUUUAGCUUAAUUAAAUUCACAUACUUUUCAAAAAUUCCAGUAAAAAGAAACUGAAAUAAUCAAACGAUUUGGGCUUCGAGUGGAUUGUGCCUGAAGGCUCCUUGUUUUGAAAGUGUACGACAUCUCAAGGCCCAAUUAAGCAGAGUCGUCUCAGCAGUAUCAUCAUCUUUAUGCAUUAGCUUAUUUUGGUACUAAGUUGAUCUUCUUGCUCAAGUGCUGCUGGGAAAACCGGCCCCACUCAUUUCAUUACUGCUCAGACAGAUACAUCCCCAUGUGGAAAUUUGGGUUUGUCUCUUCUGCUUUAUGUUCGCAGAGAGAAACUGUACAUGUUGAGCUUAAUUUGAAAGCUUGCCUUGCAAAACACAGGCAACGUAUGAUGACUAAUAAUUGCAAGAGUGAGACAUUUAACAAGAAAACACACUGCCAUGUUCGGGGUUUUUUUGCUGAGCACGUCAUUGUGGUUUGCGUUUGUCAAAGUAAAAUUGACAGGUUUUACUGGUUAUUAAAUGCUGACUGUGGCAGGCUUUUUACAACAUAAAUAAAAAUGUAUAAUGAUGUGAAAGACUGAAAAAAUUAAAGGAAUAGUUUGACA